RNAcentral lists this ribosomal RNA (253 nucleotides) under uncultured bacterium. RNAcentral describes it as "partial 16S ribosomal RNA". It matches the Rfam family "Bacterial small subunit ribosomal RNA", at positions 524 to 776 of the family's 1533-position model. The record is from RNAcentral.
UACGUAGGUGGCAAGCGUUGUCCGGAAUUACUGGGCGUAAAGGGCGUGUAGGCGGCCUUUUAAGUCAGACGUGAAAUCCCUGGGCUUAACCCAGGAACUGCGUUUGAAACUGGAAGGCUUGAGGACCGGAGAGGGUAGUGGAAUUCCCAGUGUAGCGGUGAAAUGCGUAGAUAUUGGGAGGAACACCAGUGGCGAAGGCGACUGCCUGGACGGCACCUGACGCUGAGGCGCGAAAGCCAGGGGAGCAAACGGG